AGACAUCUAAGAUAGAGAUAUAUGUAGUAUAUAUCUCUGUAUAUUGAAUUGCGAAUACAGAGAUAAUAGAAUCAUUUCUGAUUCGACUAAAUUAUGGGUAUCUGAUAUCGAUGAAAGAAAAUCAAUCAAGAAAAAACAAAUAGAAGGAAAUUUUCCCCCACCCAAUAUGAGUGUAGGUUUCGAAUAAAUUCAACAGUUCCAGCAUAUUAUUCUCAUAAUACUCAUAAUACAAACAAAUGAAAAAAACAGCCUAAUGCGAUAUGAUAUCAAUCUCAAAGAAAAAACGGGGGAUAUGGCGAAAUUGGUAGACGCUACGGACUUAAUUGGAUUGAGCCUUGGUAUGGAAACUUACCAAGUGAAAACUUUCAAAUUCAGAGAAACCCUGGAAUUCAAAAUGGGCAAUCCUGAGCCAAAUCCUUCUUUCUGAAAACAAAUAAAAGUUCAGAAAGUGAAAAUCAAAAAAGGAUAGGUGCAGAGACUCAAUGGAAGCUGUUCUAACAAAUGGAGUUGACAACAUUCAAUUGAUUAAUGAAGAUUUCUAACUUCUAUUUGUAACUAUUUUGAUUCUAUCACAAUGGAAACAUUAGAAUCAAUUACAACUGGAAGAAAAAAUGACUGAAUAUUCAUUGCUCAAAUCAGUCACUCCACCAUAAUCUGAUGGAUCUUUUGAAUAACUGAUUAAUCAGACGAGAAUAAAGAUAGAGUCCCAUUCUACAUGUCAAUACCGACAUCAAUGAAAUUUUUAGUAAGAGGAAAAUCCGUCGACUUUAGAAAUCGUGAGGGUUCAAGUCCCUCUAUCCCCAAAAGCCAAUUAAAUUCCCUCAUUUUGAUGGCCCUUUUUUGAUUUAGUUGACAUAGACUCAAGUAAUUUCUUAAAAUUAGGAUGGUGCGUCAAGAAUGGUCGGGAUAGCUCAGCUGGUAGAGCAGAGGACUGAAAAUCCUCGUGUCACCAGUUCAAAUCUGGUUCCCGGCGACUCAUUAUGUAUGAGUAUCUAUUCCCAUAUUUCUUUUCAAAAAUUGGGGGAAUAGAUAGAUAUUUAUUAGUGGUCUUAAUCAUCCUACAUAAUUUAUGUAGGUGUACGGAGAUAUGCUCUUUCUAGAUGAAGAAUGAAUAGAUGUAUAUUCUAGGUAUCAAAAGGAAGUCUGAAAAUGAAUGAUUCAAGUUUGUUUCUAUUUUUUGUGCGCUGCAAUAACGAAUGUNAUUGCUAUUAUACCAUUGAUUAAUGUUCAAUUUAAAUAAUACUAAAUAUAAAUACAUAGUUAUAUCUACAAUUAUUGCAUUAAUGAUCACAAUAUGUAAUGUCUUAUUUAUCACAUAAUACACUGCCAUCAUCAAUUAUAAUGAUCCAUUUCUAAUUCUAGAGAAAUUCUCCAUUGGGAUUAUCAAAAGAAAUUGGAUUGGAUAAGUAAUUAAAAAUUAGAUCUUUCUAUUGAAUUUCUAAAUAAAUGUCGAAUUAUAAAUUAAUAAAUAGAUUUUAAUAAUUUUCGUUUUGUUAUUAUAAGGCCUGUAUCUGUCUGCUCGAAGGAAAAAAAGAAUCGAACGUUAGAGUAUUCUAAAUUCUAUCAAAAAAGAAUAGAAGGGGAGACAUCUAAGAUAGAGAUAUAUGUAGUAUAUAUCUCUGUAUAUUGAAUUGUGAAUACAGAGAUAAUAGAAUCAUUUCUGAUUCGACUAAAUUAUGGGUAUCUGAUAUCGAUGAAAGAAAAUCAAUCAAGAAAAAACAAAUAGAAGGAAAUUUUCCCCCACCCAAUAUGAGUGUAGGUUUUGAAUAAAUUCAACAGUUCCAGCAUAUUAUUCUCAUAAUACUCAUAAUACAAACAAAUGAAAAAAACAGCCUAAUGCGAUAUGAUAUCAAUCUCAAAGAAAAAACGGGGGAUAUGGCGAAAUUGGUAGACACUACGGACUUAAUUGGAUUGAGCCUUGGUAUGGAAACUUACCAAGUGAAAACUUUCAAAUUCAGAGAAACCCUGGAAUUCAAAAUGGGCAAUCCUGAGCCAAAUCCUUCUUUCUGAAAACAAAUAAAAGUUCAGAAAGUGAAAAUCAAAAAAGGAUAGGUGCAGAGACUCAAUGGAAGCUGUUCUAACAAAUGGAGUUGACAACAUUCAAUUGAUUAAUGAAGAUUUCUAACUUCUAUUUGUAACUAUUUUGAUUCUAUCACAAUGGAAACAUUAGAAUCAAUUACAACUGGAAGAAAAAAUGACUGAAUAUUCAUUGCUCAAAUCAGUCACUCCACCAUAAUCUGAUGGAUCUUUUGAAUAACUGAUUAAUCAGACGAGAAUAAAGAUAGAGUCCCAUUCUACAUGUCAAUACCGACAUCAAUGAAAUUUUUAGUAAGAGGAAAAUCCGUCGACUUUAGAAAUCGUGAGGGUUCAAGUCCCUCUAUCCCCAAAAGCCAAUUAAAUUCCCUCAUU
This 2409-nucleotide long non-coding RNA is filed under the name Lathyrus oleraceus (garden pea). Its description in RNAcentral is "Pisum sativum (pea) long non-coding RNA (PSAT_LNC020069)". The stretch from base 312 to 728 matches the Rfam family "Group I catalytic intron". The record is from RNAcentral. Lineage: Eukaryota; Viridiplantae; Streptophyta; Magnoliopsida; Fabales; Fabaceae.